Molecule: ribosomal RNA, 554 nt
Filed under: Stipitochalara longipes
Lineage: Eukaryota; Fungi; Ascomycota; Leotiomycetes; Helotiales; Hamatocanthoscyphaceae
Description: eukaryotic LSU rRNA
Rfam family: Eukaryotic large subunit ribosomal RNA
Source: RNAcentral
UAACGGCGAGUGAAGCGGCAACAGCUCAAAUUUGAAAUCUGGCUCUUUCAGGGUCCGAGUUGUAAUUUGUAGAAGAUGUUUCGAGUGUGGCUCCGGUCUAAGUUCCUUGGAACAGGACGUCAUAGAGGGUGAGAAUCCCGUAUGUGACUGGUUGCCUUCGCUCAUGUGAAACUCUUUCGACGAGUCGAGUUGUUUGGGAAUGCAGCUCAAAAUGGGUGGUAAAUUUCAUCUAAAGCUAAAUAUUGGCCAGAGACCGAUAGCGCACAAGUAGAGUGAUCGAAAGAUGAAAAGCACUUUGGAAAGAGAGUUAAACAGUACGUGAAAUUGUUGAAAGGGAAGCGCUUGCAACCAGACUUGCGCGUAGUUGAUCAUCCGGGGUUCUCCCCGGUGCACUCGAUUACGCUCAGGCCAGCAUCGGUUUGGGUGGUUGGAUAAAGGCCUUGGGAAUGUGGCUUCCUUCGGGGAGUGUUAUAGCCCUCGGUGCAAUGCAGCCUAUCCGGACCGAGGACCGCGCUUCGGCUAGGAUGCUGGCGUAAUGGUUGUAAGCGACCCGU